RNAcentral lists this long non-coding RNA (622 nucleotides) under Androctonus crassicauda. The record is from RNAcentral. Lineage: Eukaryota; Metazoa; Arthropoda; Arachnida; Scorpiones; Buthidae.
UUCAACAAAAGUCCACAUUAAAAUUAAUAACAAAAACACAUCUCGUUACGGACAUUUUGAAUAAAUCAGAAAUCGAUUUAGUUCAAAUUUUUAAUAAUUACAUGUCAAGGAAAUCCGAUGCAAAGUCAUCUCUGAUAGAUAUAUCAUUGAAUACUGCAGGCAGCACACUGCAAAAUAUCCAAUCAAAGAUUAAAGAGCUUAAAGAGCCCUUAGCAAAGGAACAAACAAGUGAACCGUGAGAUUAUUUCUGAGAAGUAUCCUCAGGAACCUCUAGUCUACUCGUUAUAGCCAUCAUUCUCAUUGUUCUCUUUUUGUUUAGAAAGUGCCUGUGAUUCAUGUGUAGAAGGCACAGUCGCAGAAAUGCCACCAAACAAAAUCUCCCAGAACGAGAAGAACACAGCACUCCCGACAAUUCCCCAAGUAACGAGGGACAUUUGGAGAUGUUGGAGUUAACUCGUUUAUCCACAAAUCAGAAUCAGAAUAUCACGUCAGCAAACAAAGAAAAUAAACAACAACUAUAUCCAAAUUUGCAUAUAAUCGAGGAAACACCCUUACGGAUAUAAUGGUAGUCUCUUCAUCCGACGGUUAGACAAUAAAUAUGAACGAUGUAGUCGAAUUUUAC